Molecule: long non-coding RNA, 824 nt
Organism: Pseudopipra pipra
Lineage: Eukaryota; Metazoa; Chordata; Aves; Passeriformes; Pipridae
Exons: 2
Source: RefSeq, a predicted model, not a curated record
UCAUCCUCCAUGCAUCUCUUCCAGUGGGCCUAAAGAGAUCUAAGCUCAAUUCCCCAACUGGACUAGGACAUGUCUAUUAUCUUGCAAAUCCUGACCUGAUCCCAAACCAGGGCCCUCUUUUCCCCUCAGCCUCCCAGGCCCAUAUCUACACCAUAAACAGCCCAGCUAAGUCUGCAACCAAUCUCUGGAUGCUCUUUGCACUCUUGCAGCUUUGCUUAUGCUUUAGCAAACCCCUGCCCUGGUCCUGCAUGCCUGACUGCACCCCACCACCCUCAAGCUGCUAGCUUUAGGGUAGCAGAGAAAUUUUCCUUGCCAGGUCAGAACAAGUAAGGGGUUAAGCCCAGGACAAGCAGACUGAUGUCCCCCCCAGCUGACUCCCACUGCCAGAAGCACCCCUGGACUCUGGAACAUACCUCUGCUCUGUGUGCCAAAGCAGUGGGCAGCUGCCUGAGCCUCCCUCCUUGCAGGAAUGGGGAGUAACUAUGGUAACUGUCUCCGGCUGCAUCCCAGCUCCUUGUUUGCCUCUCCUCAAUAGUGCUUGUGUUUAUCUUCGAUGCUCCAUUCACAGCUUACUCCUUCUUUCUCAUGACAAAGGCAGAAAGCACCGUCUUGCAACAGCUCCCAGCCUCCUUUCCCACAGACAAGCAAAUCUCCACAGCACGUCUAACACCAGCUGAAAACAUCUGGAGUGGUUCUGAUAGGAGGAGAGCCAGCUGCCUUUUCAUAUUUCUCCAGGACUGGGAGAUAUAUAUCAGAUGUGAGUGUCUCUCCUCACCAAUAAUAUCUGAAUAAAUAACUGGUGGUGGCUUAGACCUGGCUAAAGC